This 162-nucleotide small RNA is filed under the name Chrysemys picta bellii (western painted turtle). RNAcentral describes it as "TUC338 (ENSCPBG00000021515.1)". The record is from RNAcentral. Lineage: Eukaryota; Metazoa; Chordata; Testudines; Emydidae.
UUGACAUCCCUGAGGACCGAUGUCCUUUGUCUACAGAAUAUGUACAGCAUGUGAAGCAGCAGUGCAAGCUUCCCUCCUCCACCCUUACCAUCUGGACCUGAAGAGCCACCUCCGUGGUGAAAGAGGAAUUGGUCUUCAUGACCCAUUCAUUCCUUGGCUUCU